This is a long non-coding RNA of Ornithodoros turicata, 141 nucleotides long. RefSeq lists it as uncharacterized. NCBI's taxonomy places the organism in Eukaryota, Metazoa, Arthropoda, Arachnida, Ixodida, Argasidae. The record is from RefSeq and is a predicted model, not a curated record. The transcript has 3 exons.
CCCAUCACCCAGCACAAGCUUUCGUGGAGAUGUGGACGUUCCUACCUCACCUCUCUCACAAAUGAGUGACCCUGAUGCUACUGAUGACUCUCAUCUGUCAAGUAGAGGUACCACAAGAUCGCACCUUGGUCCGGUGUCUGG